GCUCCGGUGGCUUAUUGGUUAGAGCGUCCGCCUCGGAUGCGGGAGGUCGUGGGUUAGAUCCCCGGUCGAGUCG
This is a non-coding RNA of Potamilus streckersoni, 73 nucleotides long. The record is from the annotation of a GenBank genome assembly. NCBI's taxonomy places the organism in Eukaryota, Metazoa, Mollusca, Bivalvia, Unionida, Unionidae.